RNAcentral lists this long non-coding RNA (527 nucleotides) under Solanum tuberosum (potato). Its description in RNAcentral is "long non-coding RNA (STUB_LNC002906)". Lineage: Eukaryota; Viridiplantae; Streptophyta; Magnoliopsida; Solanales; Solanaceae. The record is from RNAcentral.
UUGAAUCAAAUAGGAACCUUGUGGCAUAAUUAACAUCAAGCAGGAAUAGCCUGUAGGUGGUUGGUAAAAAAGAUUGAACUUAAUAACAAAGAAAUAAUUAAAGCCUUUUAUUUCGUUGAUAAAGUCUGCUGGAUAACAAAAACUUGAAAUAAGGGAACUCAAUAAACUAGGAUAUAUCUGAAAGCAGGUUGAAUAAGGGAACUCAAUAAACUAGGAUAUAUCUGAAAGCAGGUUGAAUAAGGGAACUCAAUAAACUAGGAUAUAUCUGAAAGCAGGUUGAAUAAGGGAACUCAAUAAACUAGGAUAUAUCUGAAAGCAGGUUGAAUAAGGGAACUCAAUAAACUAGGAUAUAUCUGAAAGCAGGUUGAAUAAGGGAACUCAAUAAACUAGGAUAUAUCUGAAAGCAGGUUUGAUUAGAUAGAAAGAAGGCCACGAUAUUCUACCCUGGAACAGGAAUAGCCUGUAGUUGGUUGGUCACAGGGUUAUUCUUUUAGAUGGCAAAGGGGGGGGAUUAUUUUGUACGGCAG